Mauremys mutica (yellowpond turtle) is the source of this 294-nucleotide long non-coding RNA. RefSeq lists it as uncharacterized. The record is from RefSeq and is a predicted model, not a curated record. The transcript has 3 exons. NCBI's taxonomy places the organism in Eukaryota, Metazoa, Chordata, Testudines, Geoemydidae.
GGAUUCUCCUGGAACCUCACUGCUGAACAUCACAUUAUUCCUGGCUCCUGGAUUUUACCUGGGAAAACUCCUACACCAAAGUUACUCAUCUUGGACUUGACCCUGAAAGGAAAAGAUCAAUACUGUAAGCAGGACACUGAAUCCAUAGCGACAUUCAAGUCAUUUAUUAUUUUUUCAACACAUAAAAAGAUUCUUGGCCAGGAUCCUAGAACACUAAAAAGGAGACUGCCCCACUAGAGACUCCACCUCUGGCUACACAUGCUGGGCUAGACCUUUGGGAAAUUAGGAAGUAAU